RNAcentral lists this ribosomal RNA (457 nucleotides) under uncultured bacterium. RNAcentral's name for it is "bacterial SSU rRNA". It matches the Rfam family "Bacterial small subunit ribosomal RNA", at positions 340 to 786 of the family's 1533-position model. The record is from RNAcentral.
UACGGAAGGCAGCAGUGGGGAAUAUUGCACAAUGGGCGAAAGCCUGAUGCAGCUAUGCCGCGUGUAUGAAGAAGGCCUUAGGGUUGUAAAGUACUUUCAUCGGGGAGGAAAAACAAAACUAAUAAUUUUAUUUCUUGACGUUACCCGAAAAAGAAGCACCGGCUAACUCCGUGCCAGCAGCCGCGGUAAUACGGAGGGUGCUAGCGUUAAUCAGAAUUACUGGGCGUAAAGAGCACGUAGGUGGUUUUUUUAAAGUCAGAUGUGAAAUCCCUGGGCUUAACCUAGGAACUGCAUUUUGAAACUGAAAUACUAGAGUAUCGUAGAGGGAGGUAGAAUUCUAGGUGUAGCGGUGAAAUGCGUAGAUAUCUGGAGGAAUACCUGUGGCGAAAGUGGCCUCCUAAACGAAAUACUGACACUGAGGUGCGAAAGCGUGGGGAGCAAACAGGGAUUAGAUACC